This 610-nucleotide long non-coding RNA is filed under the name Medicago truncatula (barrel medic). RNAcentral describes it as "lncRNA gene50649". The record is from RNAcentral. Lineage: Eukaryota; Viridiplantae; Streptophyta; Magnoliopsida; Fabales; Fabaceae.
AUGACUCUAGAGAUUACAAAUAUUGUAUUAUUCAUCAAGUUUGAUAAUUUCAUUUUUGUGUGCUACGAAAAAAUUGACACUUUUAUUUUGAUACUCAUUUAAAGCACGAGGAAAUAUGAUGUGAACCUGUUUUCUUAGGAACAAAACAUUACAUGAAGGCAAAAGGGGUCCUUUAAUGGGUUUUCUUUCUCCUUCUAAGGUGAAAGAAUUGAUCCAUUAUAUCCGUGUACAUCAUACCUGAGUCAAGUUGUUGUGACUGGUGUAGAGACGACAACUGGACACAUAAGAUCGUAUUUUACCAUUACACAUCUAUACAACAUACCUGCAUCGGAGAAUGUACAGGCUCCAAGGCCACUGGAAAAUGAGAUUCUUAAGGAGCUAUACAUGAGCUUAUAGCUAGGACGUAUUAGAGAUCAUGUCUGAGGGAUCAUGAGAGGUGGUCCGCUGGAAAGGAGCACUCUGGCUAGGCUGAAUCUAGAGAUCCUGCAUGAGAUUUAGGGAGGGAUGAUUUAUGUCGGAGGCGUAAGGGUGAUAGGAGUGGCGUUGCUACCCAAUAGUUUUUUAUUUUCUUACUUGAUGUAACAUUUGGAUAAUUUUAGUUUUAAUUUAU